CGCAUCUGUGCAUGCAGCAUAUCAAUAAGCGGAGGAAAAGAAACUAACAAGGAUUCCCCUAGUAACGGCGAGUGAAGCGGGAAGAGCUCAAAUUUGAAAUCUUAAAGGGUUUCCCUUUACGAAUUGUAGUUUAAAGAAGUGUUUUCUGUUGAGGUUUUGGUAAAAGUUCUUUGGAAUAGGACAUCAUAGAGGGUGAGAAUCCCGUAUUUGACCUUUACUUUCAACUUUGUGAUACACUUUCAAAGAGUCGGAUUGUUUGGGAAUGCAGUCCAAAAUGGGUGGUAAAUUUCAUCUAAAGCUAAAUAUUGGCGAGAGACCGAUAGCGAACAAGUACCGUGAGGGAAAGAUGAAAAGAACUUUGAAAAGAGAGUUAAACAGUACGUGAAAUUGUCAAAAGGGAAGCGUUUGAUCACCAGUGUUGUUUUUCUGAAAAUCAAUUAAAGAACUGUUUAUGCUAAGCUGUUUAGACUUUAUCAGCUAACUGUUUAGUUUUGAGCUUUUCUUUAAUGCACUUUUCAGUUAACAAGUCAACAUCAAUUUCUUUUGCUGUAAAAAAGCUUGAGGAAGGUGGCUUGAGAUUCGUCUUAAGUGUUUAUAGCCUCUUGCCUAUGCAGUCGGAGAGAUUGAGGUCUGCAGCGUAGAUCCUUCGGGGCUAAAUGCAUUUGUGCUAAGUUAUAGCAUUUCAUAGACAACUUGUUGACUAUGAUUUGUCUUGUAGCUUACUCGCUUAUGUUAUUUUACCUACGCUUAGGAUGUUGACAGCAGUAUAGACUGU
This 775-nucleotide ribosomal RNA is filed under the name uncultured Neocallimastigales. Its description in RNAcentral is "partial large subunit ribosomal RNA". It matches the Rfam family "Eukaryotic large subunit ribosomal RNA", at positions 26 to 637 of the family's 3401-position model. Lineage: Eukaryota; Fungi; Neocallimastigomycota; Neocallimastigomycetes; Neocallimastigales. The record is from RNAcentral.